This 488-nucleotide ribosomal RNA is filed under the name uncultured bacterium. RNAcentral's name for it is "bacterial SSU rRNA". It matches the Rfam family "Bacterial small subunit ribosomal RNA", at positions 17 to 507 of the family's 1533-position model. The record is from RNAcentral.
UCCUGGCUCAGAGCGAACGUUUGCGGCGGGCCUAACACAUGCAAGUCGAACGCACUAGCAAUAGUGAGUGGCGCACGGGUGCGUAACACGUGGGUAAUCAACCCUUCAGCUUGGGAUAACGACUUGAAAGGGUCGCUAAUACCGGAUACGGCGCGGGAGGCUUCGGCUUCUCACGAGAAAGCCUCGCAAGGGGCACUGAAGGACGAGCCUGCGGCCCAUCAGCUAGUUGGUGAGGUAAGAGCUCACCAAGGCGAAGACGGGUAGCUGGUCUGAGAGGAUGAUCAGCCACACUGGAACUGAGACACGGUCCAGACUCCUACGGGAGGCAGCAGUGGGGAAUAUUGCGCAAUGGGCGAAAGCCUGACGCAGCCACGCCGCGUGAGCGAUGAAGGCCUUCGGGUCGUAAAGCUCUGUGGGGAGAGACGAAGAAAGCCCGUGAAGAGCGGGCCUUGACGGUAUCUCUUUAGCAAGCACCGGCUAACUCCGUG